AAUACUUCAAUCCAUGAGGGCCCUUCAUGAGCUCCAGCUAUGCAUGGUGGCAGUUAUAUAUGUUCAAUUGCCACUACAUAGAGAUGAGAGGGGGCAUGGUGCCAGGGACAGUCCGCAAGAAUCUCUGUAUCAAUGACCUAGCAAUGACUGACCAACUACUGCCAUUGCAGCAAAUCCUGAUGGAGAUGACCAGUCAAGUGACAGACUGGGUACUGGUCAGCAAGCAAACAUGUUAUUUUGCACCUGACUUCACUUAAGUAAAUGAGGAUACAGUGAGAAGACAGUCAUCUGCAAACCAGGAUACUAGAUUUCACCAGACACUGGGUCUGCCAGCACCUUGACCUUGGACUUCUCAGUCUCCAGAACUGCAGAAAUAAAUGUUUGUUCUUUAAGCCCCC
Long non-coding RNA from Canis lupus familiaris (dog), 398 nucleotides. RefSeq lists it as uncharacterized. NCBI's taxonomy places the organism in Eukaryota, Metazoa, Chordata, Mammalia, Carnivora, Canidae. The record is from RefSeq and is a predicted model, not a curated record. The transcript has 3 exons.